Molecule: ribosomal RNA, 485 nt
Filed under: uncultured organism
Description: bacterial SSU rRNA
Rfam family: Bacterial small subunit ribosomal RNA
Source: RNAcentral
GAUUAACGCUAGCGGCAGGCCUAAUACAUGCAAGUCGAACGGCAGCGGGUCCAGCAAUGGAUGCCGGCGAGUGGCGCACGGGUGCGUAACGCGUAUACAAUCUACCUUUGACUGGGGAAUAGCCCCGAGAAAUCGGGAUUAAUACCCCAUAAUAUUGAGAAGGGGCAUCUCUUUUCAAUUAAAGCUCCGGCGGUCUUAGAUGAGUAUGCGUGACAUUAGCUAGUUGGUGAGGCAAUGGCUCACCAAGGCGACGAUGUCUAGGGGUUCUGAGAGGAUUUUCCCCCACACUGGUACUGAGACACGGACCAGACUCCUACGGGAGGCAGCAGUAAGGAAUAUUGGGCAAUGGGCGCAAGCCUGACCCAGCCAUGCCGCGUGAAGGAUGACGGCCCUAUGGGUUGUAAACUUCUUUUGUACGGGAAAAAAUCCCCGGUCGUGUACCGGGGUUGAUGGUACCGUAAGAAUAAGCAUCGGCUAACUCCGUG